Callithrix jacchus (white-tufted-ear marmoset) is the source of this 294-nucleotide unclassified non-coding RNA. It matches the Rfam family "Metazoan signal recognition particle RNA". Rfam says of the family: The signal recognition particle (SRP) is a universally conserved ribonucleoprotein. Lineage: Eukaryota; Metazoa; Chordata; Mammalia; Primates; Cebidae. The record is from Ensembl.
ACCAGGAGGGGUGGCACGUUCCUGUAGUCCCAGCUACUCGGGAGGCUGAGGCUGGAGAUUCUCUUGAGUCCAGGAGUUCUGGGUUGCAGUGCACUAUGCUAAUCAGGUGUCCAAGCACUAAGUUCAGGAUCAAUAUGGUGACCUCCCGGGAGCAGGGCACCACCAGGUUGCCUACAGAGGGGUGAACCAGCCCAGGUCGAGAACAGAGCAGGUCAAAACUCCCAUGCUGAGACUAGUAGUGGGAUCGCAUCUGUGAAUAGCCACUGCACUCCAGCAGAGGAUAGGAUGGACCAU